UCCUUUUGCAAAAAAAAAAAAAAAGAAAAAAAAAAAAAAAGAAAGAGGGAGGGAGAUGGACUGGCUAGGAGAGAGCGAGAGCGAGAUUGAGGAAGAGGAGGGAGAGAGUUUUGGCGUCGGCCGCCCUUGGGUGCUGGGCCCCAACAGUGGGCCGCCGCCCGCCUGAGCAGUGUCGGGUCCGGCCCCGCUUGGCCAGGCCUGCACCCGGCCUGCUGGUCUCCGGGUCUCCCCACCCCGGCACCCUCCGAAUGUGGAUGCCCCAAAGCAGUGAGCGCCCCUGUGGGCAAGGGUCAGCACGGAUGCGAGAGUCCCUGGUUGCUGUGGGUGCAUGCUUAAGGAGCAGGUGGGGGAAAGGAGUGAUGAGAGAGUCACCCUCCCCUUGGCGACAUUAGCUCUGCUGCCCAGAAAGCCUGGGCAAGCUGCUUGGGAGUCUGUGGCCUUGGCAGACUAGCUCCCCUUCAUCACAGAGCCGCAGGGAGGGGACAGAUGCGCCAGCAGACGUGCUUGAGCAGAGCCUGCCCAGGAGAAUCCCGACACAGUGUUUGAGCAAGAAAGAGAGCGGCAAAUCGAGGAGAGAGGUGAGCAAAAGCCCUAAAGGGGCAUUUUAGACAAGAGGCCACGCAAAUCUUCGCAUGGCCAGGAAAGACAAAAGGAGCUCAACACCACGGGUCAUGCGGGAAAUGCAAAUAAAACCACGGCGAGAUACCACUUCACCUGCUACAGCAGCCCGUGUGCCCUGGUGUCUGUGUGCUCCGGUGUCUGAGUGCUCCUGUGUCUGUGCGAUCCGGUGUUUGUAUGAUCCAGGGGCUGUGUGCUCUGGUGUC
Sus scrofa (pig) is the source of this 824-nucleotide long non-coding RNA. RefSeq lists it as uncharacterized. The record is from RefSeq and is a predicted model, not a curated record. NCBI's taxonomy places the organism in Eukaryota, Metazoa, Chordata, Mammalia, Artiodactyla, Suidae.